Molecule: small nuclear RNA, 108 nt
Organism: Oryctolagus cuniculus (rabbit)
Lineage: Eukaryota; Metazoa; Chordata; Mammalia; Lagomorpha; Leporidae
Source: Ensembl
GUGUUUGCUUCGACAGCACAUAUACUAAAAACUGGAACGAUACGGAGAAGAUUAGCAUGGCCCCCACACAAGGAUGACACAUAAAUUCAUGAAGGAUUCCAUAUUUUU